RNAcentral lists this non-coding RNA (641 nucleotides) under Pongo abelii (Sumatran orangutan). Lineage: Eukaryota; Metazoa; Chordata; Mammalia; Primates; Hominidae. The record is from RNAcentral.
ACCGCGGGUGCUCGGGGCCCCGACUCGUACCCAGGUGCCACCUGGCCCUCACCUCCCGCCGUAGCUGGCUGUGACGCCCGCCAUGGGCACACUGGGGCAGUGCAGGGAGAAGACGAGGAUGCCCAGCAGGCUGACAACGGUGCAGAACAGGCAGAACUUGAUGACCGCGGAGCCCCGGAGCCUGAGCUUGUUCACAAAGAAGCCGCCCAGGAAGGUGCCGCCACCGCCCGCUGGCACCACCAGCCUCUCACCGGAGCAGAGUGUCGGCCUCACAUCACCCCCACCGGCAGGAAGGUGGCUCUUUCCUCUCGGCCACACCUAGAGCCUGGUUCCGAUAAAUGCAACUCUGAACGCCUGGAACAUUCAAAUGCUCUUGUUUGAGGACGUGGCCAAAUGUAAAUGGAUUCUGAAGAAUUAGGAACAGACGAUGCAGCCCUAGUUAGCCUCUGAGCCCCAACAGGCCCACAGGUGCCUUGCAGAGCUGAUGUUGGCGACAGAAACUCCACUCCAGCCUCACACUCUGCCUGCUUGGAGGUGUUCGCUGGCUCGCUCAGACUGACCUCAGCAGCCAUGAACAUAGGUUUUUUCUGUUCCCUUCCCUGAUUAAAAUGGGAGAGCCCAAUUCUUUCAAAAUUUCCUGA